GACGAACGCUGGCGGCGUGCUUAACACAUGCAAGUCGAACGGAAAGGCCCUGCUUUUGUGGGGUGCUCGAGUGGCGAACGCGUGAGUAACACGCGAGUAACCUGCCCUUUACUUUGGGAUAACUUCAGGAAACUGGGGUUCAUACCGGAUAUGAGCUCCUUCUGCAUGGUGUGUGUUGGAAAGUUUCGGCGGUUGGGGAUGGACUCGCGGCCUAUCAGCUUGUUGGUGAGGUAGUGGAUUACCAAGGCUUUGACGGGUAGCCGGCCUGAGAGGGUGACCGGCCACAUAGGGACUGAGAUACGGCCAAGACUCCAACGGGAGGAAGCAGUGGGAGAUAUUGCAAAAUAGGCGGAAGCCUGAAGCAACAACGCCGCGUGCGAGAUGACGGCCUUCGGGUUAUAAACCGCUUUCGCCUGUGACGAAGCGUGAGUGACGGUAAUGGGUAAGGAAGCACCGGCUAACUACGUG
This 468-nucleotide ribosomal RNA is filed under the name uncultured bacterium. Its description in RNAcentral is "partial 16S ribosomal RNA". It matches the Rfam family "Bacterial small subunit ribosomal RNA", at positions 28 to 507 of the family's 1533-position model. The record is from RNAcentral.